GAGGAAGGUGGGGAUGACGUCAAGUCCUCAUGGCCCUUAUGGCUAGGGCCUCACACGUCAUACAAUGGUCGGAACAGAGGGAAGCGAAGCCGCGAGGUGAAGCCAAUCCCAGAAAACCGAUCGUAGUCCGGAUUGCAGUCUGCAACUCGACUGCAUGAAGUCGGAAUCGCUAGUAAUCGCGGAUCAGCAUGCCGCGGUGAAUACGUUCCCGGGUCUUGUACACACCGCCCGUCACACCAUGGGAGUGGGGUUCACCAGAAGACGUUUGCCCAACCGAAAGGAAGGCGGCGUCCACGGUGGGCUUCAUGACUGGGGUGAAGUCGUAA
This 326-nucleotide ribosomal RNA is filed under the name unidentified proteobacterium. RNAcentral describes it as "SSU rRNA". It matches the Rfam family "Bacterial small subunit ribosomal RNA", at positions 1166 to 1491 of the family's 1533-position model. The record is from RNAcentral. Lineage: Bacteria; Pseudomonadati; Pseudomonadota.